CCUGCGACGCAAACGCGCCGCUUUAUCCGCCCCGAGCGCACCCGGGGCGCCGGUGGCCGUCCCAAACGGCCGCGGCCGCGUCUCGACGUUCUAAUGCAUACCAAGGCAUUGUCUUAGGGUGGGAAAACAACAUCAACCGAGGCCACAAAACAAACAAAAAGAACUCGAGCCCAGAACCUCAGGAUCCUUUCUGGUCGCAGUCCCAGGAAGCGUCUGGGGCAAAUCUGGCCGAGACGCACCCGGGCGACGCCACCGCCGGUGCCACCGCGCCCCAUAAAGCCAACGCCCACGGCACCCUCCGUGCCUCUCCUCCCCGGGCGGCUCCACGGUCCCCUCCGCGCUCGCGGAAAGUGGGGCGUGCGGUCGCCAGCCGGCUGCGCCGAGGUGGGGGGGUGGGGGGUCCCCCUAUCGCCCAGACUCGGUUUGCGUCCCCCCUUCAACCUUCGCUGCGGCCCCUGCCACUCUCCAUAACACCACUACAUUUCUCAGCACCGAAACUUCCCGCCAAGCAACACCCAGCCAAUUAACCCCAUCCUCUCCUCCAACGCAGAGUUCCACCCACGCACCCAGUCCCUCUCCCCGCGCUUCAGACACCUCUGUCAUCGGAACACCGAGUGAAGGGAAGCAGGCAAUCAGCAGAGGAACCUGGCUGAAUUAAUGGCGGCUCCCAGAAGCUCCUGCCCCUCUGACAGCUGUCGCUUGGGCAGCCGGGGAGACGAAUUGUCCUCCUUCCUGGUGCCAGAGGACGCAGGAAAUUAGCCAGGUUGCGAGUUGCAAAGCGGCCGCCGAGGCGCCGGGAACUGGACGCGCCCCACCUCCAGCGGGAGCGGCCGGGCCGGGCCGGGCCAGGGCCUCGCCUGGCUCGCCAUCGCCGGACAAAGCGCAGCCAAGCCCGGCUGGAAGGCAGAGCUCCGAAGCAGGCAGGACCGAGCGGAGCAAAAGAAUGCGGCUCUAUUCUCGCAAGGGAAAUUAUAAAAAAGUUCAUGUUCACGGUUCCCAUCCACAUGACCGACAGCGGCCAAUGGAAGGGCCGAACAACUCAUAAAGUUGUAUUGCAAAGUUGUAAAUUUUCAUAAACAACAACGGAUUUAUGACCCUUUCCCCAUCACUAAGAGGAGGCAGCUCUUACACCGGCGCCAUCUUACCACCGAGGCCGCCCCGACUGGGGGCCGCAGGUUUUACAAACCCAGUUGGGCCGGGUUUUAUUAAAAGAGCAAUAAGAAGCGGGCCCGACCUAGGCAGGAGGCCGCAGUCGAGGUCUCCGCCUGCCUGCCCAGCUCAGGCUAUCCUGCGCUGUCCCCAUCGGCCCUCGCCCCUACCCAGACCCUCCACCUUCCCCGCGCCCACCCGCACGCCCCCGCCAAGGCUCGGCAGCAGCCCAGGCUCGGCAGCAGCCCGGGGCUGCGGUCCCUGCCCCUUCCCACACCCCUCAGCUGCAGCGCUGUGCCCGGCGCCCUGGCUUUGCCUGAAUGCAGGGUGGGCGGGGGGCUGCGUCAGAGGCCCUGAAUCCCACCUCCUAGCUUGGGGCCCUGUUCAGGACUCGUGGAAAAUUCGGGAUCAUUGGCAGGGUAAUACCCCUAACCCAGCCCACCCCGCAGCCUUAGAGGAAAAGGUGGAUUUUGUAUUCGCUCAUGGAAUUUGUGGAGGUUUUUUUUAGGGAGGUUCAUAGACUAUAACAUAUCCAUUGAAGAUUCCGUUUUCAAGAGAUCUGGAAGAUGUCUGUGCACACACACACACAAAAUGAAGAUGAAAAUCUUUGGAGAAAUUCAUAUACAAUUAUGACACACAGAAAAGCACACACUCAAUUAUUGACACGGAAAUACACGCAACUAUUUACACACAGAAACACAUGCACUCAGUUAUGGACAUAGAAUCACAUAAAAUUAUUGACUCAUGUAGCAAUACACACAUACAUAAAAUACACAUACAAAAGAGGUACACACAUACCUAUGCAAAUCCACACCAAAAGGGACUUGACACACAUAUACACCAAUACAUAGACACUCAACACUUGGACCCCAAUUGUCCUUCCACUUUUGCUUCUCCAAAGCCCCUUUGGACAUACAGACUUAGCCAGGCUUUGCUCUCCAGUCAUGCUUACCUUUCUUUCCCAGGCCCCCCUGUAUAAAGCAGUCCACAUUUCUUUGUCACCAA
Long non-coding RNA from Canis lupus familiaris (dog), 2154 nucleotides. RefSeq lists it as uncharacterized. Lineage: Eukaryota; Metazoa; Chordata; Mammalia; Carnivora; Canidae. The transcript is spliced from 2 exons. The record is from RefSeq and is a predicted model, not a curated record.